CCCCACGGCGUCCCCGCACCGUCACCGCGCUCCCAGCGCCGCGCGCUGGGAACCAAAGACUUCCCCCAAGUAAAGUUCAUCUCUACCCCCUGAACUCUCCACAAAAUCUAAAUCUACUCCCUGCCCAAAUCAACGCCCAUAUCUCCUCCGUUUGAACUCCGAUUUAGGUGAUUCUUGCGCCUAAAUUCCUCUAAGACCACGCUCUAUAAGAUCAUUUCUAUCAUCCCACUUCUCUUACGGCAUCGUUACAUUUUUCUCAAUGUACUGUUUACAAAAUUUAUUAUAUCAACAGUCUGAAAAAGUUAUACCGACUAUUUCGGGUAAACCUAAAAGUGAGUCCAAGGAUAAAGAGAAGAAGCAUAAAAAGCACAAAGACAAAGACAGGAAAAAGAUAAGGAGCAUAAGAAGAACAAACAUCGGCAUAAAGACCGGAGUAAGGACAAAGAUAAAGAGAAGGACAAGGAUAGGAAAAAAGAUAAAAGUGGGCAUCAUGAUUCUGGUGGCGAUUCAAAGAAACAUCAUGAGAAGAAGAGGAAGCACGAGGGAACAGAGGAUUCAGCGGAUGUGCAUAAGCACAAGAAGAGUAAGGUAGCACACUGCCAUUUUUCCUCUCUGAUAUGAUAUUUCUAUCAUAGAUUAAAUUUGUCAUUUUGUUAAUAUGGCUGUUCAAUUAUGGCAGCACAAGAGUUCCAAAAAUGACGAGAUGGGGAAUGGACUUAGCUAACUGCAUUUUCCUCCUAGUUCUAGCUAUCAGUUCUUGUAAUUUGCUGUUAAAUGGGAACUCCGAUGGUUUCUGUCAUCAAAACCUGGUGCCGAAUAGUGGUAUGUGCUUCUUUAGUUUGCUGUUUUUUUUCUCGAACCACGUAGGAGAGCUGCGUGUCAUUUCAUUAGGAAGAAACUGAAACAAGCCUUGAAGAGGUUUAAAACCUCUUAGGGCAAACAACAAACCACACCCAAGCACACACGAUGGGCAAGGGCCACACAUUAAGGCCCUGGGGAGGACCUCUGGAGGAGCUCCUGGAGUCCAGAAGCCUGGUCCUACACUACACCACAACAGCCCCUCACUAGCCACUGAGAGACAAACCUCUCUAACACUGUUGGGUUCUGUUUGUUUUCCUGCAACUUUGCUUUAUUUUGUGUUAGAUAUCUGACUUACAUAUCUGUCUGUCUUAGGGUGCUUUAUGUCUAUUGGUGAAAACAUGAAGAUGUAAACUUGUAAACGUUUCAGUUAGGCUAAGGUCACCGGUGGGCCUACAAAUGGGCAGGCAUACACUGUUUUACACUGUAGACUACACUGUUCACAGAAUGGAGUUUGAAAUAGGUGGUGGGAUAGAAGCCCUGGUGAGGUCAGCCUUAGAGAGCUUGCAUCUUUUAAGCCAAAUUUAAGAGGUUUUAUUUAACUAAUUGAGCUUAAUUGAUGAAUAGUUCAACCCUUGCGACUUUAUUUGUCCAUGCCUUGCCUUUUGCUUGACAUCCCUAUGAACCUAACGGUAUUCUCAUUUGAUUUUUAUCUGCAUCUCUGGAAUAUCCAAUUGUGCAAUGCCAUACAUAGCUGCUAUGAGAUUGUAUGCGGACACUUAUAUGUUGCUUUUAUGCUUAUCAAUCUUGAUGAACUCAUUAACAUGUCUUUUGGUAUGGUCUGACAUGCGUCAUAGUCUUUGAUGUAGGCUGUUUUGAAUGACUUCUCGCUAGACCACAACACAUGGAAUAUACCAAUAUAUUCCUGAAAACAUUUGCUUGAACGGAACUUUUCAUGCAUCAUAUAAAAACACACGUCAAUCACUAGUAUAGUAAUCAUUUUUUACAAAUAUGAUAUGAUAAAUCAGUCUUAAGCAAUCUGCCAACUUUUUAUGUUUAUUUGGAUGGUGCAGGUAUGAUGUACUGAAGCUGUUUUUGUUAGAACAUCCAAUGAGGUUGCUUUGCAGCGUCCAUUUUGAGGAUACUUAGGGACUAAUCCAUUGUACCAUGCAAAGAAUUGAUUGCAGAAAAAUUGGGAAAAUGGAAUGAGGCUUUUGACUGAACUCAUGCCGUAGCUUGAUUAGUGGUGGAUGUACAGUACAGGAUGUGGUCUGGUCUCUGGAGGUGUAGUUCAUGACAUGUAUUUGAAACAUAAGUUGGUUAUCUUCGUGCUGAUCUUAGUUCAUAGACAGUUGGGGUC
Molecule: long non-coding RNA, 2158 nt
Organism: Panicum virgatum (switchgrass)
Lineage: Eukaryota; Viridiplantae; Streptophyta; Magnoliopsida; Poales; Poaceae
Exons: 2
Source: RefSeq, a predicted model, not a curated record